Molecule: long non-coding RNA, 1289 nt
Organism: Onthophagus taurus
Lineage: Eukaryota; Metazoa; Arthropoda; Insecta; Coleoptera; Scarabaeidae
Source: RefSeq, a predicted model, not a curated record
UUUGGGUACUUGGGGCAAGAGUCCUCUAGGAAGUGGGGGUAUAAGUCCGCAUGCGGUCUCGUGUUUUUAUUAGAAAAUAAGUGAUCACCGGUUAAGCCGAGCCUUAGACACUGAGUUUUUGAUACUUUUCAGAGUCUACAAAAGAAAAACGGACCGAAAAAAUUGCACAGAGGACAUGCUAAUGGUAGCAAGACAAAGAAGAGAGGAGGGUAUUUCAAACAGACAAAUUGCAAAGGAAUUGAAAAUUGACGAAUCCACUUUAAGAAAAAGGCUUAAGAAAGGAUGUGGUACGUCAAAGCUUGGACGUUUCACAUCCAUCUUUCACCGACAACAAGAAGAAGAGUUAGCAGAACAUUGCAGGCAGUUAAGUCUAAGAUUUUAUGGGCUAACGUUUAAGUCCUUGCAACGUUUGGGAUUCGAGUUUGCAGAAAGGAAUAAUCCAAACCACCACUUCAACAAGGAGAAAGGCAGAGAAGGAAUGGUCUCGAAGUUUCAUGAAAAGGCACAAUCUUACUUUGCGGAUUCCUCAGAAAACAAGCGUGGGGCGGAUAAUGGGAUUCAACGAAGUGCAAGUAAACAGAUACUUUGAUAAUCUAAUGACAAUUUUUGAAAAAUAUAAUUUCCCACCAUCAUCUAUUUUUAAUAUGGAUGAAACUGGUCUUUCUACCGUGCCAAAUCGAAUACCAAAAAUGAUUCGUACGAAAGGAAAAAGGGCUGUCGGAAAAGUUGUCUCCGCUGAACGAGGCCAGCUUGUAACUGCGGUAUGCUGCUUCAGUGCCUCAGGAAACUACAUACCACCCACUUUAAUUUUUCCUAAAAAGCGCAAAAAAGACGAACUUAUGAAUGGGGCAGCACCAGGUUCAAUGAUGAUGAUAUCUGAUUCCGGUUAUAUUAAUGGUCAGUUAUUUAUUGAAUGGCUGGCACAUUUUCAAACACAUGUAAAAUCAUCCGAAGAAUAUCCUGGUUGCAUUAAACGUCAACAAUCUAAAAUUUAUAAACAUACAAAAUUUCCCCUCAAUGAAUUUGAUAUUCCAUCUGGAAGCUUUGAACACAUCCAUACUGACUUUGUAGGCUCCCUUACGCCUUCGCUUAAUUAUUGUAAAAAUGUUUUGCAUUGUGUGUGGAUGUAGCGAAGAUGAAGUUGGAAAAUUAUUUUGUUUUCCCAAGAAUAAGGACAGACAAAAACGGCCAACCCAACCCAACCUGUGAGGGUCAUCCCGGAGAAGACGAGGACAGCGGUUUUUAGUGUAAUUAUAUUGUAAUUUAAAUAUAAAAUUUUAAAUCGCCAA